UGGGGAAUCUUCCGCAAUGGACGAAAGUCUGACGGAGCAACGCCGCGUGUAUGAUGAAGGUCUUCGGAUUGUAAAGUACUGUCAUUGGGGAAGAACGGUUUUCUUGAAAAGAUUGAGAAGACAUGACGGUACCCAAGGAGGAAGCCCCGGCUAACUACGUGCCAGCAGCCGCGGUAAUACGUAGGGGGCAAGCGUUGUCCGGAAUUAUUGGGCGUAAAGGGCGCGUAGGCGGGCCUUUAAGUCCGGUGUGAAAGAUCAGGGCUCAACCCUGAGAGUGCAUCGGAAACUGGAGGCCUUGAGGACAGGAGAGGAAAGUGGAAUUCCACGUGUAGCGGUGAAAUGCGUAGAUAUGUGGAGGAACACCAGUGGCGAAGGCGACUUUCUGGACUGUAACUGACGCUGAGGCGCGAAAGCGUGGGGAGCAAACAGGAUUAGAUACCCUGGUAGUCCACGCCGUAAACGAUGAGUGCUAGGUGUAGAGGGUAUCGACCCCUUCUGUGCCGCAGUUAACACAAUAAGCACUCCGCCUGGGGAGUACGGCCGCAAGGUUGAAACUUAAAGGAAUUGACGGGGUCAUAGCUGUUUCC
Molecule: ribosomal RNA, 587 nt
Filed under: uncultured bacterium
Lineage: Bacteria
Description: partial 16S ribosomal RNA
Rfam family: Bacterial small subunit ribosomal RNA
Source: RNAcentral